CUUUUUGUUCCACAUCAGGGAAUUCACAGGGUAUCCAUUAGAAACCAUAUCACAUUUACAAGGCUCCACGGACUUCCUUAAGCCUUGAUGCUCCAACGGGUUAUACAGGCUAAGAGGUGGGGAUGAGUGCAGAUCCGAAGUGGGUGGGUGAGGAUCUCCCAGCCUCUCAGCCCUGGCACGGGGACUUGCUUUUCUCCAGGCUAUCUGGUUCUCUCUGUUUAUUCUCUGCCUGCUUUCCUUGUGUCUCUCGUUGUUUCUCUCUAAAUCUCCAUCUUUCCCUCUCUGUCCCUCUCCCCCUCCCUCCUUUCCUCUCUGUCUUUGUAACUCUCCCUCAAUUUUACUCAUUUUAGUGGUUCACUCUUUGGAUCUAGGACCUUGGUCAGCAUGAGCAUUGCACUCACAGAGAGGGUGACACGUUUCCUGAUGCCUGAAAGAGAGAAAUAAGAUGGCCCAGGAGACUCCAGGGCACUCUGCCCACUAAGCAUCUUUUUGUGAGUGAGAGGCCAUUUCUCCAGCUGUCCAUUGCAGCAUUCCACAACCCAGACUGCUGCUGUCCAUGCUGAUUGGUGUUUGAGAGGGCAGAAUGGACCCCUGAUUCACUUCCCAUCAGGAACACUUGCCACCAGGAAACCCCCUCAAUCUACUCUUCCCUUGCCCUUUAAGACCUUCUAUUUCAGGGUCCUCCCCCUGCCAGAUUGAAAGAUGACAGACUGAGGACAAGCCCUAAGGGGACAGAGAGUCUAAGGCUCCAUGUUCCAACUCUGCAAGCCCCACCUCAGCUCAACUCAACACCUUAGACCUUCAGCUCACAGUUCUCUACAGGACACUUGUGAAAACUUGGAAAAUAUUAAUUGCUUAACAGUCCGCUUGCAAGUUGAACAGGCAGAUAAGGAGGAAAAGCCUUUCUUCUUUGACAAGCUUUCCAUGAAACAUAACCCCAGAACACGAGUGCCCAGAUGUAUACAUUCCAGGCAUGAAAAUGAAGGAUAAUUCUCCAAAAAGACUGACUGGCCCUUGGGACAAGAUCCACAGAGACUUCAUCUGAAACGUUCUUCAUCAAUCAAGAUCAUUUUUACUCAACACAACUUGUCACUCAAGUUUAAUGACCUUCACUACCAGAAGCCCAGAGUUCUAGAGUUAACUGCAUCCUACUUGACCCUGGUGUGGUAUUGGCCAACAAAGAGGCAGCAGGACAAAGAACACACAAUGGAGCUUGGGGCUCAACAACCUGGGAUCUGGGGCCAGACUCCACUUUGAAACUUUGGGCAAGUUAUUUCACCUCUUUCGGCUUUUAUUCCUUCCUCUGUAAAAUUAUCCUCUCUCCCCAAAAAUAACUGUUUGGUGAAUCUUAACCUCUUUUAUGAUUCUGUUACAUUUUACAAUUCUUCCUUCAAGAGAGAGCUCUGCACAAGACUCUGAGUAACAAUUGAAGAGAUGGAUCCAAGCCUCAGUUGGGCUGAUGAGAG
Molecule: long non-coding RNA, 1466 nt
Filed under: Homo sapiens (human)
Lineage: Eukaryota; Metazoa; Chordata; Mammalia; Primates; Hominidae
Description: HSALNT0249010
Source: RNAcentral